Molecule: long non-coding RNA, 402 nt
Filed under: Capsicum annuum
Lineage: Eukaryota; Viridiplantae; Streptophyta; Magnoliopsida; Solanales; Solanaceae
Description: long non-coding RNA (CANN_LNC019592)
Source: RNAcentral
AGACAUUCUGACAAUUCAUUCAUCUCCCUACAAUUAAGACAUCUUCCUACAACCCAUUCUCAAUUCUUCAUUCUUCUACUCUUAAAUUCCACAACAAGAGAAUCGUUACUUGCUACGGAAUCACUAAAACCACACGCCAAACACCUACUAUUCACGCCAUCCACCAUGCAAAACGUGAUAUCCUUCGCAUUCAUGGGUAACUAAAUCUCUUAGUUGGGGUUAUGGAAGCCGAAUGAGUUACUAUCUAUAGCUAUGAGUUUGUGAGUUCAAGACAAGUAUAUUGCUUAUAUCAUUAUUCUCUUCAUCUUAAAUCUACAUUCUUUGCGGUUCAAACACAAGAACACGCCAUUCUAACAUCUAACCUGUUCGAGAGAAAGGUUAUUUGUCUAGAAAAGAAGACGC